Molecule: small RNA, 197 nt
Filed under: Paenibacillus sp.
Lineage: Bacteria; Bacillati; Bacillota; Bacilli; Caryophanales; Paenibacillaceae
Description: c-di-AMP sequence
Rfam family: c-di-AMP riboswitch aptamer (ydaO/yuaA leader)
About the family: This family represents a conserved RNA structure found upstream of the ydaO and yuaA genes in Bacillus subtilis and related genes in other bacteria. The ydaO/yuaA element is thought to act as a genetic "off" switch for the ydaO and yuaA genes in its native state.
Source: RNAcentral
GCCUUUUUGGAGCCGAAACCUCUCGCUUAUGGGAGGUGCGGGGGACGCAUUAAAGGCGAACGAUACGAUACGGCACGCGGCGACGCGGGCAGCCGGCAUCCGUUACGCUAGGGGUGAAUCUCGGUUUGAACCCGAGUAGGGACUAUCCUUUGUCCGAACCCGACAACUAACCUCGUAGGCAAUACACUAAAGGAGAA